This 397-nucleotide ribosomal RNA is filed under the name uncultured bacterium. RNAcentral describes it as "bacterial SSU rRNA". It matches the Rfam family "Bacterial small subunit ribosomal RNA", at positions 28 to 429 of the family's 1533-position model. The record is from RNAcentral.
GACGAACGCUGGCGGCGUGCUUAACACAUGCAAGUCGAGCGGUAAGGCCCUUUCGGGGGGUACACGAGCGGCGAACGGGUGAGUAACACGUGGGUGACCUGCCCUUAGCUCUGGGAUAAGCCUGGGAAACUGGGUCUAAUACCGGAUAUGACUCCAUGACGCAUGUUGUGGGGUGGAAAGCCUUGUGCGGCUAGGGAUGGGCCCGCGGCCUAUCAGCUUGUUGGUGGGGUGANGGCCUACCAAGGCGACGACGGGUAGCCGGCCUGAGAGGGCGACCGGCCACACUGGGACUGAGACACGGCCCAGACUCCUACGGGAGGCAGCAGUGGGGAAUCUUGCGCAAUGGGCGAAAAGCCUGACGCAGCGGCGCCGCGUGGGGAUGACGGCCUGGUGUAAC